Molecule: long non-coding RNA, 703 nt
Organism: Papaver somniferum (opium poppy)
Lineage: Eukaryota; Viridiplantae; Streptophyta; Magnoliopsida; Ranunculales; Papaveraceae
Exons: 3
Source: RefSeq, a predicted model, not a curated record
CGAAAGCAAAUCUGUGAAAACAGUUCACCUAACUCAGAGGAGAUUUUAGACAACGAAAGGAAAUAGAUCUGUUGGUUGAAGGAAUUAGUAAAGAAUUUGGCAGUGGUUUUGAGGCCGAGAAAACAAAUUUCUCUGUGGAUUUGAGAGCUGGAUAUGCUGCUGACUGAAAUCAGUAACAAGAAGGGUUGGUUUUGAAUUCGAAUUCGGUUUGUUUAUGGACAGUGGUUGUUUCCGGAUAGAGAUGCAAUGGCUUUAGUAAUCAGCAGCAAGCUUAAAUCUGCGUUACCAGUUUCACGUACAGAUGGUGUUUGAGGAAAUGCUUGAAGGACCAGUUAAACCUGUAGUCGGCUGCAAAUGAUGACACAAAAGUAUCUCAGAAUGGGGAUGAGUUUGGAAGAAAUGUUGCAGCAACUGGCCGCUACUGAACAUUACUAUUGGGAUUACUGCGGAAGAGCUUGAAACUGCACUUAUCGUGACAGUUUGACUUUCCGAUCACCUGAAACUGUUCACCGGCAGCUUCCCUCCUAAAUCUCGGCAAAGAUUUCUACUAUGUUAUUUUCAAAGUGACAAGGCGAGGCGAAGCCGAGCCACACCAAAUUAAAAAUUCUAAAAAAGUAUUGGGACGAGACGAAGCCACACCAAAUCAAAGAUCCUAAGCGACGGGCAAGACGAAGCCGAGUCACACUAAAUCAAAUAUCCUAAA